CUGGUCCAUACUGGGUGACACUGGGAGGUCACUGGUCCAUACUGGGUGACACUGGGAGGUCACUGGUCCAUACUGGUCCAUACUGGGAGUCACUGGGAGGUCACUGGUGCAUACUGG
Long non-coding RNA from Chiroxiphia lanceolata (lance-tailed manakin), 117 nucleotides. RefSeq lists it as uncharacterized. The record is from RefSeq and is a predicted model, not a curated record. The transcript has 4 exons. Lineage: Eukaryota; Metazoa; Chordata; Aves; Passeriformes; Pipridae.